This is a long non-coding RNA of Amphiprion ocellaris (clown anemonefish), 2503 nucleotides long. The record is from Ensembl. NCBI's taxonomy places the organism in Eukaryota, Metazoa, Chordata, Actinopteri, Pomacentridae.
GCAGCUAUAAUUUUCAAAAGUUUAAACUCUAAAGGACAGAUGCUAGGAGUUUUGUUUUUUAACUGGCUUUUUUCUAUGUUUGUCAAACAGCGCAGAUGUGCGAUCUCAACCAGAUGAACCUGUCUUGCUGCCGCACUUUGUUGUCAGUUGCCGUAAAUUGUGCCAGUCGCGACCGGUCGCGACACACCGCAAAGCAGACACAAACACUAAAUUAUGGAUUUUGGCGGAGAUAAUGGAAAGUACAGCAAAGAAGAGGAGGUGCAGCUUCAACAAAGACUGGGAAACUAUAUAUCACUGGGUGAAGCCGGUGCAAGGUGAUUCUCAGAGAGUUUUCUGUGAAGUUUGCCAGAGUUCGUUUUCCGUUUCACACGGUGGGGAAUACGACGUGAAGCGACACAGUACAUGCGAGACCCCCCCUCAGCUUUGAGUGAAACUAGCAGUUCCUCCUUAAAGUCAGAGAUUGCAGCAUCUGAGGGCCUCUUCAAAAGAAGACGUAGUUGAUGAAGGCGUUCUGGAGCAGGACCAGAAAGACCACAACCAAGCAGCCUUGAGAUCUUAGGCAGCGUCUCCCUCAGACCAAAGAACUACAGACUCUUCACAACCUGCUCAAACUCUUGGUACAGGACCUCACCACACGGGUCAAGAAGGUUUCCGUCUCAUUUCUACUCUGAAGCUCACCUUCUCCUGCUCAAACUGCUGACAAAUGUUUCUGCUGCUCUAAAGUCUGGUCUCCAGAACUUCCUAAAAACUCUCAAAGUCUCUUCUGCUGCAGGUUGCUUUGUAGAACUGUUGCAGAAAACCUCACUAAACCACAUGGAGGGGCCUCAAGAUAGUCGUCCAAAUGAAACCAUACAAAAACCAAACUAGCACAACCCAAACGCUAAAGUCUCCUGCAGCCUACCAGAGAACCUCUGAGAACAGAGAAUCAGGACAGGAACUCUUACCUUCUGGACAACCAACGUUGGUUCUCAAACAAGAAUACAGAAUGUGUCUGACCAAAAACCUCUGAAGACUCACUACAGCCAAGAUAAAGACACAACUCAGCUGUACCAAAUCCACUAAUCACUGCACACAUUAGCACCAUGUGCUAACUGGGGCUAAAGAACCACAUUUACAACUAUCCAGUACAAAGCCCUAAAACACACCAGGAAACACAUUAAAGUCUAUUUUACUGCUGGAAGCUGCAAGCCAACGCCUAAAGAACAAACUAAAGCAAUGAAGCCAAACCCAGUUCUGUGGUGAAGAGAAGCAGAGGAAAUGUUUGUCUGCAGCUAAACAAAGCAGGAAGACACUGAGCUGCUCAGGUGUUCCUGAUAACACCAAGCAGCCACCUGGACAGCCAAUAGGAACACAGCUUACUGGAAGUCCAGAGGGCUGGCUUAGUGAAGGAAAUUUAAUUUAAAGUUGAAGCAGAAAGUUAACAAAGAAAGUUGAAAACCACCUUCUGAUACCUGAAAUCUCUGAGUUUUCACACAAAGAAUGCCUGAACAUGUCAAACUGGUUCCAUAGUAGAAUCCAACAUAUUUUGGAUCCUUGUGGAGAGUUUAAUCUCAGAGUUUGUAAAGCUAUUGAGUUUUUAGAGUCACAUGGAUUGUUUUGACAUUUAAUAACCGAGUCCAGAAAAAAAAUUACAGUUGUGGAUUUCUGUCAUUUAGUCUGGACUAAACAAAUAACAGCAGCAUAAAUCUCAAACGUCAUUAUGAGGAGUCUGGAUUGAGGUUUCUCACUUGAUAAUGAUCAAAACAUGAAAUUGAGGUUGAUUUAAAGGAAUAUUCCACCCUAAAUUUGGAAAGAAAAUUCUUGUAAAUAUUUUCAAAAAAUGAGUAAAAAUCUUCCAAAAAAAAUCCUAAAAAUAUCUAAAGUGACUACAUAUAUAUCAGUAAAAUUUCUAAUAUUUUCUUUAAGAACAUUCACAAAAAAAUCAACCCAAAUCCAGCGAAAUUCGCCUGGUUUUCUUUUGGAGCUGCUGUAAUGGUGAAAUUUCCCCACUGUGGGAUCAAUAAAGUUUAUUUUAUCUUAUUUUAGAGAAUCAGAAUUUUAGAGAUAUACAGUCAUGGAAAAAAAUCAUUGGACCACCCUUGUUUUCUUCAGUUUCUUGUUCAUUUUAAUGCCUGGUACGACUAAAGGUACAUUUGUUUGGACAAAUACAAUGAAAACAACAAAAACAGCUCAUAAGAGUUUAAUUUCAGAGCUGAUAUCAGACAUUUUCCAUGGUUUUCUUCAUAAUGACCAAAAUCAUUUCAGUUCUUACAUCAAUAGCUAUGGCAAUGUACUGCCAAAAACAGCUUUUAGACAUGCCAUGUUUUCUUUUCUGUUUUAGUCACAUGAUCCACACAGGAGUUAGUACUUGAUUGCAUAACCAUUGUUUCUGAUGACUGCAGCCAUUUGCUCUCCACCAGCUUCUGACAUUGUUCUGCUGUCACAGCAGCCCAUUCCUGUCGCACAAAUUCAAACAAAUUUUGUUUCUGGGCUUGUGGUUCACCAUUUUGCAUUUGAUGAUUUU